RNAcentral lists this long non-coding RNA (708 nucleotides) under Oryza brachyantha (malo sina). RNAcentral describes it as "long non-coding RNA (OBRA_LNC002001)". Lineage: Eukaryota; Viridiplantae; Streptophyta; Magnoliopsida; Poales; Poaceae. The record is from RNAcentral.
UUGUACAUAUGAACAUCAAAACAUUUGGCCUCCCCAGUAGCUGCAAGGAAGACCCACUACUAAUUUUUGUAGGGAUGGGAGGAACUGGGAAUGUAGUUAAUUCCAUCCAUUGAAAUGUUAGCUACCUCAAACUGCAGAUUCGGAUUGCAAGUAGAAUAUAACUAUAGCAUAAUCAUGAACUUGUUUGCCGAUGUAUCCAAAAGAACACUGGUUUUCGGGCACAAGCAGAUCUCUAUGCUCAUCCAGAUUCUAUUUUCUUGGUGACUGCAUGUCGUAGACUCAAAGUGAGAGAGCGGCAAUGUCGAUUCUACGAGCUGGCCGUGAUGUUUUCGUACUGUGAAUUAAAAUCUGCAAAAAUAAUAAUAGUAAUUUGCUGACCAUGUAGGCUCACUAGGGGCUAUUUGUUUGGAGGGACUUAUUUAUAAGUCUCUCCACUUUAGUUCCUUUUAGUCCCUAAAAUACUAAACAGGGGUGACUAAAAGGGACAAACUAUCUAGUUACAUAAGUCUCUAAGGGAGGUACUAAAAGGGACUAAAGGUCUAUAGUAUACCUACUCUACUACUCUAGCCUAUAGCUAUGUGUGUGAUGUGUACUAUUAAGUAGGUCAUUUAAUAAGGUUUUAGUCCCUUGUAGUCCCUCCAAACAAACAGGGUAUGACUAAAAGGGACUUAUGUUUUAGUCCUAGAACUGAUUUUUAGUCCUAAGACU